GAUGAACGCUGGCGGCGUGCUUAACACAUGCAAGUCGAACGAUGAAGCCCAGCUUGCUGGGUGGAUUAGUGGCGAACGGGUGAGUAACACGUGAGCAACCUGCCCCUGUCUCUGGGAUAAGCGCUGGAAACAGCGUCUAAUACUGGAUAUGUCCCGUCACCGCAUGGUGUGCGGGUGGAAAGAUUUUUCGGUUGGGGAUGGUCUCGCGGCCUAUCAGCUUGUUGGUGCGGUAAUGGCUCACCAAGGCGUCGACGGGUAGCCGGCCUGAGAGGGUGACCGGCCACACUGGGACUGAGACACGGCCCAGACUCCUACGGGAGGCAGCAGUGGGGAAUAUUGCACAAUGGGCGGAAGCCUGAUGCAGCAACGCCGCGUGAGGGAUGACGGCCUUCGGGUUGUAAACCUCUUUUAGCAGGGAAGAAGCGAAAGUGACGGUACCUGCAGAAAAAGCACCGGCUAACUACGUG
RNAcentral lists this ribosomal RNA (467 nucleotides) under uncultured bacterium. RNAcentral's name for it is "partial 16S ribosomal RNA". It matches the Rfam family "Bacterial small subunit ribosomal RNA", at positions 28 to 507 of the family's 1533-position model. The record is from RNAcentral.